Molecule: ribosomal RNA, 672 nt
Filed under: Mycoplasma sp.
Lineage: Bacteria; Bacillati; Mycoplasmatota; Mollicutes; Mycoplasmatales; Mycoplasmataceae
Description: partial 16S ribosomal RNA
Source: RNAcentral
AGAAAAAAGUUAAAUGAGUCGCGGUAAAGGAUCUAUCGCGUAUGUUCAAUUUAACCACAUGACUCCACCGCUUGUGCGGAUCCCCCGUCAAUCCUUUGGUUUCCUCUUGCGAGCAUACUACCUCGGCGGAUGACUUAUUGCUUUAGCUGCGCCAAUGAAUUCCCCAUCAACUAAUCAUCAUCGUUUACGGGGGGGACUAACUAGGUAUCUAAUCCUGUUUGGUCCCCACGCUUUCCUCUCUCAAUGUCAAUAUGUGUCCAGUUAGCUGCCCUCCUCAUGUUGAGGUUCUCCCUUAUAUCUACGCAUUCCACCGCUCCACAGGGAAUUCCCCAAACCCCUACGCAAUUCUAGUUUGCCAGUAUCCAAGGCGAUUUGGGGUGGAGCCCCAAGUUUUCACACCAGACUUAAAAAACAACCUACUAGACGCUUUACCCCCAAAAAUUCCGGAAAACGCUUGCACCCUAUGUAUUACCGCGGGUGCUGGGCACAUAAUAAGCCGGUGCUUUCUUGAUAAAGGUAACGUCAAGGUCAAGACAUUUUCCUCCUCGACUUUCUCUUCCCUUAUAACAGAAGUUUUACAACCCGAAGGUCUUCAUCCUGCACGCUGUGUCUCUCCAUCAGGUUUUCGCCCAUUGUGGAAAAUUCCCUACUAGCUGCCUCCCGUAAGAGUAA